GAGAGGGUCUCUCGGCCCCCCCAGGACCUGACGUCGGCGCUGACCCGUAAGAUCACGCUGAAGACCCCGCUCAUCUCGUCCCCCAUGGACACCGUCACCGAGUCCGAUAUGGCCAUCGCCAUGGCGGUGAGCUUUUUUUUUGGGGGGGGGGCACCCCGGGAUUUUGGGGGGCUGGGGGGGUGGGUGUGGGGUCAGGGUGUACGUCACGGUAUGGGUUGGGGUGUGGGGUUGGGGGGCUCGCGCCUGUGUGGGGUUGGGGUGCUCACCCCUGUGUUAUUUUGGGGGAUACGGAUUUGGGGUAACCAACACAUCUGGUUUGGGGUGCGCAUUUGGGGUGCUCACCCUGUGCAGGUUUGGGGUGUGGGGUCAGGGUGCCCAUCAUGGUAUGGUUUGGGGGUGUGGGGUUGGGGUGCUCGCACCUGUGUGGGGUCGGGGUGCUCGCCCCUGUGUUAUUUUGGGGGAUACAGAUUUGGGGUUACAGCCCAUCUGGUUUGGGGUGCACAUUUGGGGUGCCCACCCCUAUGUGGGUUUGGGGUAUAGGGUAAGGUCCCCAUCACAUUAUGGUUUGGGCGUGUGGGGUUGGGGUGCUUGCACCUGUGUGGGGUUGGGGUACCCACCCCUGUGUUAUUUUCGGGGAUACAGAUUUGGGGUAACCAACACAUCUGGUUUGGGGUGCGCAUUUGGGGUGCCCACCCCUGUGCAGGAUUGGGGUGUGGGGUCGGGGUGCCCAUCACUUUAUGGUUUU
Molecule: long non-coding RNA, 745 nt
Filed under: Anas platyrhynchos platyrhynchos (common mallard)
Lineage: Eukaryota; Metazoa; Chordata; Aves; Anseriformes; Anatidae
Description: lncRNA (ENSAPLG00000018512.1)
Source: RNAcentral